This is a long non-coding RNA of Notothenia coriiceps (black rockcod), 791 nucleotides long. RefSeq lists it as uncharacterized. Lineage: Eukaryota; Metazoa; Chordata; Actinopteri; Perciformes; Nototheniidae. The record is from RefSeq and is a predicted model, not a curated record. The transcript is spliced from 3 exons.
GAAAUGCAGCCAAAUGCUGCUUAUUUUUUCGGUUUUCGCUAAUUUCUUGACUUUUUCCGACGCGCUUGCAUUUAAAUCUGGCUCCCGUCGCUCUGUGCAGCUGGCCUGUACCACUACACCUGCUGUGCCCCCCACCCUUCUUUCACAUAAUGGUAUGAUCCUAGUGUGUCCUCGCAUAUGAUUGGCCGCAUGGUGGCCCAGCUAAAUAAAGACUGCCUGCAAGGAUUCUCAGCAAGAGUAGAAGCGGCUGGAGAUUCUGCUCUCCCCGACGGGAGUCUGCUCUUCUAGCGGCAUCUCGCGAUCGGCGUGUUGGAGACCCCUGAAUUAAAUUAUCAAGUCACCUCAAGUCAGAAGGCUCAAGUCCAAGUCAAGUCCCAAGUCAUUGGUGUUCAAGUCCAAGUCGAGUCGCAAGUGUUAUGUGAUUUUGUCAUGUUGAGUCUCAAGUCAUCAAAUUGAUGACUCGAGUCUGACUCGAGUCCAAGUCAUGUGACUCGAGUCCACACCUCUGGUGGUCAUUACAUGAUACUAGUACGUUGCCAACAACAACACUGUCCUUGUUUACCUGCAGGAGUACAAACUGUGGGACAGUGAGCUGGAGUUUGUGGAGACUCUUCUGGAAGAAGAUGUGAGGAAUAACUCUGCAUGGAACCAGAGGCAUUUUGUUAUUUCUCACACUACAGGAUUCUCUGAACCUGCAUUAGUGGAGAGAGAGAUUCAGUAUUGUCUGACCCAGAUCAAGAAGGCUCCACACAAUGAGAGUGCAUGGAACUAUUUAAAAGGGAUGAUGCAGG